CAAUGGCCAUCUUUGCCAAAGCUUUUCAUAAACAUUAGCUAUUAGGUUUGAGUUAUCAUAGUGGUUGAUGUAAACCUCACCUUAUCCUUAGUGAUUGGACUAUAAGUCUUCCAUACUUAUUAUAGGGUGGAUCCCUCACUAGUAUGUUGAAGCUCUCCUCACAUGGUGGAUUGUGGUUUAGGUUGAGUUUUCUCCCUUUGAUAACAAAAGACCUUAAGGCUUUGACCAAUCAAUUCACCAACUUCUUUU
RNAcentral lists this long non-coding RNA (249 nucleotides) under Lathyrus oleraceus (garden pea). Its description in RNAcentral is "Pisum sativum (pea) long non-coding RNA (PSAT_LNC036985)". The record is from RNAcentral. Lineage: Eukaryota; Viridiplantae; Streptophyta; Magnoliopsida; Fabales; Fabaceae.